AAGCUAUUUACCUGCUGAACUCCAGAGAGUUAACAGUCAUGCUACCAACUCCCUCAUACUUUGUGCAAGUUAAGUGAGGUCAGAUUCUGACUGGUAAAUAACAAAGUAAUGAAGGCUGGGGAAAAGAGGUAACUGACACAGUACUGCAAAGAUCUGGAGCUUGUCAGUAUCAGAAGCACUGUAUAUAAAUCCUUGGAAAGGAAGACACCAUCUAAACAGCUGUUUUGGAUGUAUGAAUAGGAAACACAAAAGGAAAUCACAUUUUCCCCAAAUGCAAAUAACACAUUCACUUGCCUAAUAUAUAUUCUCUGAAAUAUAAUGACAACAUAAUUGCAGAAACAGAGGUCAACAGUUUAUUUAACCUCAUUUGUUUUCUUUUGUUUUGGAGCAAGCACUCAGUAAGCUAUGAAGAAUAGUUUACUUGGGUUUAUUGCUUGUAGGUUAAAACUGAAUUAUCCCCUAAGGACUGAGCAAAACUUUUCAUACUGAUCCCUUUAGCAGUCUCCUCAGCUUGUUUAUUAAUGGUGAUUGCAACUGUUCAACUCGAUCUGUUAGAUUUUACGAAAUAAAAAGAUGCAA
This is a long non-coding RNA of Xenopus tropicalis (tropical clawed frog), 579 nucleotides long. RefSeq lists it as uncharacterized. The transcript is spliced from 3 exons. Lineage: Eukaryota; Metazoa; Chordata; Amphibia; Anura; Pipidae. The record is from RefSeq and is a predicted model, not a curated record.